This 1209-nucleotide ribosomal RNA is filed under the name Staphylococcus arlettae. Its description in RNAcentral is "bacterial SSU rRNA". It matches the Rfam family "Bacterial small subunit ribosomal RNA", at positions 36 to 1237 of the family's 1533-position model. Lineage: Bacteria; Bacillati; Bacillota; Bacilli; Caryophanales; Staphylococcaceae. The record is from RNAcentral.
CAGAAGCGGGUGCUAAUACAUGCAAGUCGAGCGAACAGAUAAGGAGCUUGCUCCUUUGACGUUAGCGGCGGACGGGUGAGUAACACGUGGGUAACCUACCUAUAAGACUGGAAUAACUCCGGGAAACCGGGGCUAAUGCCGGAUAACAUUUAGAACCGCAUGGUUCUAAAGUGAAAGAUGGUUUUGCUAUCACUUAUAGAUGGACCCGCGCCGUAUUAGCUAGUUGGUAAGGUAAUGGCUUACCAAGGCAACGAUACGUAGCCGACCUGAGAGGGUGAUCGGCCACACUGGAACUGAGACACGGUCCAGACUCCUACGGGAGGCAGCAGUAGGGAAUCUUCCGCAAUGGGCGAAAGCCUGACGGAGCAACGCCGCGUGAGUGAUGAAGGGUUUCGGCUCGUAAAACUCUGUUAUUAGGGAAGAACAAACGUGUAAGUAACUGUGCACGUCUUGACGGUACCUAAUCAGAAAGCCACGGCUAACUACGUGCCAGCAGCCGCGGUAAUACGUAGGUGGCAAGCGUUAUCCGGAAUUAUUGGGCGUAAAGCGCGCGUAGGCGGUUUCUUAAGUCUGAUGUGAAAGCCCACGGCUCAACCGUGGAGGGUCAUUGGAAACUGGGAGACUUGAGUGCAGAAGAGGAAAGUGGAAUUCCAUGUGUAGCGGUGAAAUGCGCAGAGAUAUGGAGGAACACCAGUGGCGAAGGCGACUUUCUGGUCUGUAACUGACGCUGAUGUGCGAAAGCGUGGGGAUCAAACAGGAUUAGAUACCCUGGUAGUCCACGCCGUAAACGAUGAGUGCUAAGUGUUAGGGGGUUUCCGCCCCUUAGUGCUGCAGCUAACGCAUUAAGCACUCCGCCUGGGGAGUACGACCGCAAGGUUGAAACUCAAAGGAAUUGACGGGGACCCGCACAAGCGGUGGAGCAUGUGGUUUAAUUCGAAGCAACGCGAAGAACCUUACCAAAUCUUGACAUCCUUUGACACUCUAGAGAUAGAGUUUUCCCCUUCGGGGGACAAAGUGACAGGUGGUGCAUGGUUGUCGUCAGCUCGUGUCGUGAGAUGUUGGGUAAGUCCCGCAACGAGCGCAACCCUUAACUUAGUUGCCAGCAUUAAUUGGGCACUCUAGGUUGACUGCCGGGGACAAACCGGAGGAAGGGGGGAUGACGUCAAUCANAAUGCCCCUAUGAUUUGGCNAANCCGGGCUACAGGACAA